This 323-nucleotide transfer-messenger RNA is filed under the name Escherichia coli. RNAcentral's name for it is "partial transfer-messenger RNA". It matches the Rfam family "transfer-messenger RNA", at positions 43 to 374 of the family's 374-position model. Rfam says of the family: Bacterial tmRNA, also known as 10Sa RNA or SsrA, is named for its dual tRNA and mRNA-like properties. Its role is to liberate the mRNA from a stalled ribosome. Lineage: Bacteria; Pseudomonadati; Pseudomonadota; Gammaproteobacteria; Enterobacterales; Enterobacteriaceae. The record is from RNAcentral.
GUGCAUGCCGAGGGGCGGUUGGCCUCGUAAAAAGCCGCAAAAAAUAGUCGCAAACGACGAAAACUACGCUUUAGCAGCUUAAUAACCUGCUUAGAGCCCUCUCUCCCUAGCCUCCGCUCUUAGGACGGGGAUCAAGAGAGGUCAAACCCAAAAGAGAUCGCGUGGAAGCCCUGCCUGGGGUUGAAGCGUUAAAACUUAAUCAGGCUAGUUUGUUAGUGGCGUGUCCGUCCGCAGCUGGCAAGCGAAUGUAAAGACUGACUAAGCAUGUAGUACCGAGGAUGUAGGAAUUUCGGACGCGGGUUCAACUCCCGCCAGCUCCACCA